AGAGAUGAGGGUGAUCUUGCUGCAACAUGUCACGCCAUCGAUUGCCAGAGCUGAUUUGGCUGAUCCAGCUGGAUAGGCGGAUGUUCCCUUUCUCCCUCACUGCUCCAUGUGCAUCUCUCUUGAAGCUGUGCACUAAUUGAAGACGACAACCAUCCCUGAUAGAGAAGUACCAGUCUUCAGUCAAGGGUAUAUGAGUAGCUGCAUUCCUCUGCUAGAACCUCCAAACAAGCUCUCAAGGAAACACACACACACACACAACACACACACACACACACACACACACACACAUGCAUACAAAGAGACAAAAGACUUGU
This 314-nucleotide small nuclear RNA is filed under the name Saimiri boliviensis boliviensis (Bolivian squirrel monkey). RNAcentral's name for it is "7SK RNA (ENSSBOG00000008878.1)". It matches the Rfam family "7SK RNA". Rfam says of the family: 7SK was discovered as an abundant small nuclear RNA in the mid-70s but a possible function has only recently been suggested. Two independent studies have found that 7SK RNA binds the CDK9/cyclin T complex (known as elongation factor P-TEFb). Lineage: Eukaryota; Metazoa; Chordata; Mammalia; Primates; Cebidae. The record is from Rfam by way of RNAcentral.